AUUUUGUAUUAUGUCUAUUUGCGACAUUUUGCUCAUGCAAUUGUCUGUCCUGUCUCCUCUUAUGUGUAUAUGGUUGUAACUGGGAAUUUGAUUUCACUGUUAGUAGGGUUUUAAUUGAAUUGAGUACUGAUUGUAUUAUCGUGAUUUCGUGUUUUGGCCUUUUGUUCUUGAAUUUAUUAUGAAUCAAAAAGCUAAGCUUCUUCGAAUCAAAUAGGUUCAAUUGUUUAUGCAACAUGCUGAGAUUGCAAAUGAACACACUAUGUGUCCAUGUAAGUUGUUUUGAAUCCAAUUUGUGUAAUGCCAACCUGUUGUCGAACUUAUUGUGAGUCCAAAUUGGCACUUUGGUCUGCGUCAUUAGAAGAUAUUCCGUAAUUUAUUUCUUUUAUGGUUGUUUGUUCGCAAUCUUUGCAAUGAGUAUUAAUAAAUUUAUGAACUGUUUGUUUCAUUGUUUUGGUUUGUUUGUAGUAGACAACUUUAGAUAGUAUUUUACUCCAAAAUAUGCAAGACAGCAAACAAGUUUUCCAGGCAAUGUUCAAGGUAAGUUUUGAAUUACACCACGAUACUCUCUGGUGGUGUUUUUCAUUUGUGUUUGAUCGUUUGAAAUGUACCUGUAGGAUGAUAGUUUGACUGUUGGUGGGAACAUAAAAGCUAAAGGUGAAGUUUUAAAGGAGUUCUUUAAGGCGAGGUCUAAGCCACCAAACCUGAAUUGUCGAGUGGAGAGUUUUGCCAGAAUUUGUCAAACCUUUGAUUCACGUAGGAGGUGGGUUGCUGAAAUGGGCUUUGGUGGGCUGUUGUAUUUAUCUGGUGACAUGCAUCUUCCCAGGCAGCUGGGGUACUGGUUAGUGACCCGAUUGGAUCCUAUUAGUAAGAUGUUAUUAACCCCGGAUAGAAGGUGUUUAAAGUUGUCCAAAAAUCAAGUUCAUUGGGUACUUGGCAUCCCUAAUGGACCAAAGAUACUUCCAUCAUGCAAAACAUUGAAGGGGGUACGGCGGGAGAAGGUAAAAAACAUUAUUGCAAAAUACGGGACAACACGGAAUAAGGGACAAUCAACUGUAUAUGAUAAAGUAGGAAUUCCGGUGUACCCUGAGUUAUUGGAGAGGCUUGAGGGUUACUGGGAAGAGAACGAGGAGGAAGAGUUCAAGACGCUCUUUUUAUUGAUUUCUUUGGAAAUGCUCGUGUCCUACUUUGUCUACUAGACUGUCUUCUGACUUGUUACCUGCUUUGACAUGUGCUAUGGAAGCCGUUGAUUAUGAUUGGUGCACUCUGGUGCUAUCCAAGCUGCUUUCUAGUGUCCGUUCUUUUGCCCGUAGAUUUUAUUCUUAUGGUCAUGCCGGUGGAUGUGGUGGCUGCAUUUUAUUUGUCUUGAUUUAUUACUUGGACCGGCUUGAUAGAGAGGCUGUACAAUGGGGUGUUUUCCCCAGGUUGAAGGUGUGGUCAAUGAAGGAGAUAUUGAGUGCUAGCAA
Long non-coding RNA from Chenopodium quinoa (quinoa), 1463 nucleotides. RefSeq lists it as uncharacterized. The record is from RefSeq and is a predicted model, not a curated record. The transcript has 3 exons. NCBI's taxonomy places the organism in Eukaryota, Viridiplantae, Streptophyta, Magnoliopsida, Caryophyllales, Amaranthaceae.